RNAcentral lists this ribosomal RNA (253 nucleotides) under uncultured bacterium. RNAcentral's name for it is "partial 16S ribosomal RNA". It matches the Rfam family "Bacterial small subunit ribosomal RNA", at positions 524 to 776 of the family's 1533-position model. The record is from RNAcentral.
UACAGAGGGUGCGAGCGUUAAUCGGAAUUACUGGGCGUAAAGGGCGCGUAGGUGGUUAUUUAAGUAAGAGGUGAAAUCCCUGGGCUUAACCUGGGAACUGCUUAUUAGACUGAAUGACUGGAGUGCAGUAGAGGGUAGUGGAAUUUCCGGUGUAGCGGUGAAAUGCGUAGAUAUCGGAAGGAACACCCGUGGCGAAGGCGGCUACCUGGACUGAGACUGACACUGAGGCGCGAAAGCGUGGGUAGCAAACAGG